GGUCCGCAGUCCACCGAGGCAUCGCCACCCGAAAGGGAACGCUAAACCUGU
RNAcentral lists this non-coding RNA (51 nucleotides) under uncultured Gellertiella sp. RNAcentral's name for it is "COG3860 RNA". It matches the Rfam family "COG3860 RNA". Lineage: Bacteria; Pseudomonadati; Pseudomonadota; Alphaproteobacteria; Hyphomicrobiales; Rhizobiaceae. The record is from RNAcentral.